Molecule: ribosomal RNA, 497 nt
Filed under: uncultured bacterium
Lineage: Bacteria
Description: partial 16S ribosomal RNA
Rfam family: Bacterial small subunit ribosomal RNA
Source: RNAcentral
GAUGAACGCUGGCGGCGUGCCUAAUACAUGCAAGUCGAGCGAACAGACGAGGAGCUUGCUCCUCUGACGUUAGCGGCGGACGGGUGAGUAACACGUGGAUAACCUACCUAUAAGACUGGGAUAACUUCGGGAAACCGGAGCUAAUACCGGAUAAUAUAUUGAACCGCAUGGUUCAAUAGUGAAAGACGGUUUUGCUGUCACUUAUAGAUGGAUCCGCGCCGCAUUAGCUAGUUGGUAAGGUAACGGCUUACCAAGGCAGCGAUGCGUAGCCGACCUGAGAGGGUGAUCGGCCACACUGGAACUGAGACACGGUCCAGACUCCUACGGGAGGCAGCAGUAGGGAACCUUCCGCAAUGGGCGAAAGCCUGACGGAGCAACGCGGCGUGAGUGAUGAAGGUCUUCGGAUCUUAAAACUCUGUUAUUAGGGAAGAACAAAUGUGUAAGUAACUAUGCACGUCUUGACGGUACCUAAUCAGAAAGCCACGGCUAACUACGUG